Molecule: transfer RNA, 74 nt
Filed under: Candidatus Omnitrophota bacterium
Lineage: Bacteria; Pseudomonadati; Candidatus Omnitrophota
Description: Candidatus Omnitrophica bacterium tRNA-Val
Rfam family: tRNA
About the family: Transfer RNA (tRNA) molecules are approximately 80 nucleotides in length. Their secondary structure includes four short double-helical elements and three loops (D, anti-codon, and T loops).
Source: RNAcentral
GGGCUCAUAGCUCAGUUGGUUAGAGCGUUGCGUUGACAUCGCAAAGGUCAGUGGUUCAAGUCCACUUGGGCCCA